AUUUUUUCCUGCCCUGCUAUCUGGAGUGUGGAAGCCAUCAACACUGAAGGCAAUCUUCUUAUUGGAAAUCCAGAUGGCCACAACAGCAAAGGAAAGGACAGGAUGUUCCACGUAAUUUUUUGAAAAUGGCUGCACCAAUUUUUAUUCUUACCAACCAUGAAUGAGGAUUCUUUUUUCUCCAUAAUCUUUUCACUGUACUGCAAUGGAGCUUUCAUUUCCUUGGAAUCUUUUCCUCUAUCUAUAUUAUCCUAUGCAGUUUUGAUUCAUAUACCAAGUUCACCUUCAAAUGCCAUACCCUCCACAAAUAUUUGAAUCAAUUUUUUAUAUUAUUUGGCUUCAA
Myodes glareolus (Bank vole) is the source of this 340-nucleotide non-coding RNA. Lineage: Eukaryota; Metazoa; Chordata; Mammalia; Rodentia; Cricetidae. The record is from RefSeq and is a predicted model, not a curated record.